Molecule: ribosomal RNA, 443 nt
Filed under: uncultured bacterium
Lineage: Bacteria
Description: SSU rRNA
Rfam family: Bacterial small subunit ribosomal RNA
Source: RNAcentral
AGAGCGAACGCUGGCGGCAGGCCUAACACAUGCAAGUCGAGCGCCCCGCAAGGGGAGCGGCAGACGGGAGAGUAACACGUGGGAACGUACCCUUUGGUUCGGAACAACACAGGGAAACUUGUGCUAAUACCGGAUAAGCCCUUACGGGGAAAGAUUUAUUGCCAAAGGAUCGGCCCGCGUCUGAUUAGCUUGUUGGUGAGGUAACGGCUCACCAAGGCUACGAUCAGUAGCUGGUCUGAGAGGAUGAUCAGCCUCACUGGGACUGAGACACGGCCCAGACUCCUACGGGAGGCAGCAGUGGGGAAUAUUGGACAAUGGGCGCAAGCCUGAUCCAGCCAUGCCGCGUGGAUGAUGAAGGCCCUAGGGUUGUAAAGUCCUUUCGACGGGAAGAUAAUGACGGUACCCGUAGAAGAAGCCCCGGCUAACUUCGUGCCAGCAGCCGC